Molecule: long non-coding RNA, 6621 nt
Filed under: Brassica rapa (field mustard)
Lineage: Eukaryota; Viridiplantae; Streptophyta; Magnoliopsida; Brassicales; Brassicaceae
Description: long non-coding RNA (BRAP_LNC004130)
Source: RNAcentral
UCAUAAGAAGCCACCUUAUCCUUUAAUGCAGGUUUUAUAUUUCUCUUUGAAACGGAUAGGAAUUGUAUCAUUCGCUCCAACAUUGUCUUUAAUUGUUUCAAUCUAUUAAACUGCAGAGAUCUUUGUUGAUGCGGAAAAGAAUUCUGCUCGAGACAAAAAAAAGAAUGUUUUCAACAAGAAAGAGACGAGCACAUAGAUUGCAAGCUAAAGGAACAUAAAUAUCCGAUGUUUACUUUCUACUGGACAGUAAAAAUACGAGCAUCUUUUGGUGCAAUGGUUUUCAAGAUGCCAAAGUUGUAUGACUUUCUUUUGCAAUAUCGAACCGGUUUUGCAUUGAAUUCAUAGGAAUUCUCGCUCAGAUACUCUACUGUUUCGGAGGACAUACACUCUACUCUCCUAGAAAAAUAUAUAGCAACUUACUUGCUGCAACUUGGCUGCAACUCUCUGUUUGACUUCUUUUAGAUCUGAUAAGUACGUAUCUCUCAAAGUUUUGAUCUGCAAAGACAAGCACAAAGAUCACACGGUUACUCAUUACGAUGAUAUCAAAAUAAGAUCGCCUGCCGUGUUGCAUUUAUCUCUUAUAGAUUUAAUAAACGUAGACAGAAUAGGUAUAAAGAUAGCAAACUUAUUUUAUCUCCCCCAAACACUUAUGAGUACUGACGGCAAGGCCUGAAGCAUUACCCAAACUAGAAAGAAAAACUACCUUUUGGUAAACCUCCUCUUGCCAAUCAACAGAAUUUCCACUUUCCGUCUGUGCCAUGGAGUUUAACAAUGCUACAAUUUAUAAAAAUGGGGUUUGUUUAGCAUCAGAUCCAGCUGAGGGAUUAACUUAUGUAAAGUAUUCACAAGGAUGUAAACGCAUACACACAGGAUGGAAUCUCUGGAAGGGUUUGUCUCUGUUGGUCCACUACAUUUUGAGGUGGAAGCAGGGAACCUGUGAAUUGGCCUGAAGAUUGUAGCCUUUGUAGCAGAUUAGGUUGUUGUAACUGCUGAUGAUGCGACUGAAGGGGCAUCAUCAGCUGCUGCUGGGAUGGCUGAUUUUGUGACUGUUGGCCUUGAGAAGAAAACACAACAUGAGAUGAUUGUUGGGGAAGCUCCCCUUGCUGAACUGGAUUCCUCGGCCUUAGCAUAUUUACCAAAUCUAUAGUCUGCUUCUCAUAGAUAGCCACCUUAUCCCUUAAUGCAGGUAUGACAUCUCUCUUUGACACCGAUAGGAAUAGUAUCAUUCGCUCCACCGCUGCCUUGAACUGUUUCAAUUUCUCAAACUGCUCUGAUCUUCGUUGCCGCGGAAGAGAACCCAUCUGGGGAGAAAAAGGAAUGUGCUCAAUAGGAAAAGAGACAACCACAUAGAUUCAAGCUACAACCUUUGUCAGUUUGGGAAGGAAAAUAAAUAUCCGACAAUUACUUUCCACCGGACAGUAAAAAUACCAAAUUUGUGUGACUUUCUUUUGCAAUAUCGAAUUGGUCUUGCAUAGAAACUCUCGCAGGUACUACUGUUCUGGAGGACAUACACACUACUCUCUUAGAAAAAAAAACUUACUUGCUGCACCCUGGAUGCAGCUCUCUGAUAGAUUACGGCAAGAUCAGGUAAGUACGCUUCUUGUAUAGUUUUGAUCUGCAAAGACAAAGCACCAUGGACACACACGGAUUACUCAUUACAAUGAUAUUUAUGUAAGAUCGCCUGUCGUGUUGCAUAUAUAUACAGCAAACUUAGUUGACAGCAAGACUAAGAAGCCGGAAGCAAUACCCAAAUUAGAAAAAAAGAAAACUACCUUUUGGAAAACCUCCUCUUGCCAAUCAACCGCAUUUCCACUUUCCGUCUGUGCCGUGGAGUCUAGCGAUGUUACAAUUAAUAAAUAAAUAAAAGGUUUUGUUGAGCAUCAGAUCCUAAAGUAUUCACAAGGAUGUAAAGGCAUACAUGAUGGCAUCUCCUGGAGGGUUCUUUGGGAUUGAUACAGUUGUUGUCUCUGUUGGUCUCCGGAAGGCCUCCAAUUGUUGUUAUCCAUCUAAGUGUUCCCUACGGUUACAAAAAUCUACAGAAAACAAACGACCACACACAGAGAUGAAUUAUAUUGACAAGAAUCAGAGCAGCCAAAGGCUAAUUCUAACAAGUUUGAGACACGGAAUCACCAACCAACCCUAAUAGAGAAUCAAAACCAAAUUUUUCAUUUUUGUUUACUCUUGUUAACAAAAAAAAGCGACAGACUCAACCUCAAAGUAGCAUAUCGUAAAACGAGUAAGCAUACUGUGUCAAUCACACCAAAAAAAAAGAAGGUUAAAUCUAUUCUCCUAAAUAGUAUGAGAACCACAAUCUGUAAAGCGCGAUAGCGAAAUAAUAUGUCUUCUCGAGACUACUGAUCACAAUAGAAAACGAAAUUCUAAAAUUUCACCUCGAGGCGAUUUCACGGGUUGUUACAAAGGAGUAGGAUUGAUCGGGAUGAAGAAAGGAUGACCAAGUUUUCAAUGUCGUCGCGCGGCUUUUAAAUUACCAAAAACCCCUACAAUUAAUGAUCAAUUACUGUAUAAUCUUGCCAAGUGUCAACUACAAGUUCACUAAACCCCAAAUUUAAUUGACCCACCAAUAUAAAGACGGCGCUUAGUCUCAUCAUGUGCUUUAAUUUUUUCAAUUGAUGUUUGAUGUCGGAGAAACCAGAAAUCAUCCCAAUUCCCAAUGGCAUACACUCGACCAUGUAUGGUUUAUUCAUGCCUUUUCUUGUUUUUCUUUUUAAGAGCAUCUCCAAAAAGAAACUCUAUUUUGAAGUUUCCAAAACUCUAUAUUUGAAGUUUCAAUGUGUUCUUCUCCAAAAGUAAAACUUCAAACCUAACUUCAAAAUUAUUUAUAUUUUACACUAUGGUCCUUAUAUUUGUCAUAGUUGAUGUAAAUUCAUAAAAUUUCUAUAAAUAACUAGUACAUAUAUAUAAAUAUUACAGAAAUAUUAAUUAAAAAAAUCUUACACUAAACGAUAAAAUUAUAAAUAAAAGUACAUACUUAAAUAUUAAACUGCAAACAAAUAUUAUAUUAUUCCAUGAAAUUAUUUCUAUAAUGCUCCCAUAUAUGAUCAAUUAGUGCAUUUCGAAGUAAGAAAUGAUUCUCUUUAUUUUUUAUUUGUAGAUUACGAGCCAAAAAUUGUUGAAAUCGGAUAUCCUCAUAAUAUGGCUGCUGAUAGUUUGAUAUUAUCAAACGAAAAAAUCCUUGAUCUUUUAAACGAAAGUAUAACAAGCAAGGAAAAAGGUCAUGAGAUGAUUGAAUUAUGACUACAAAAUAAAGCAAAAAAGUUAGCUUUUAAAAAAGUAAAAGAGAAAAAUAAAAUAUUGCUAAAAAACUUAGCUUCUAUCAAUCAUGUUAAUAUUCGUGAAUACAUUCGAUCUAAACAAGAAAGAAUCAUACGAAAAAUGCGUCAAGAGCAACAACAACAAUCAUCUUUGGUUACACAAAAUUUGUUUGGACGAUAUUUUGUAGAUUUUUGAGGUUCCGGAGCAAAUUUACCAUACUAUUAGUGUUGUCAUAAUAUUUAAAUUUGAGUAAUAAUUAUGUCUUCAUGUGUCUUUUUAAUAAGUUUGUAUUAUGGUUUUUUGUAAUAUUCUUGUUGUUUAAUUCUAGUUUUAAAAUAUUAUAAAUCUUGUUUAAAAAUUUUUUAUUUAAUUUCAUGUGUAAAAAUUAAAUUUAUAAAACAAAUUUAAAAUAUUUAUGAGAUAUAAAUUUUUUAAAGAUUAAAACAAUAAACAAAAAAAUAUUUAAGAAUUAUAAAUAUGAUGUAUAAUUGUAAGGACCAAAAUGCAAAUAAAAAGAUGAAACUUCAAAUUUGAAGUUUUGAAAAGUGAAACUCUAUAUUUGGAGUUUCACUCUUCAAAACUUCAAAUUUGAAGUUUUGAAGUUCCUUUUUGGAGAGCAAAAAACUCUAUAUUUGGAGUUAUAGAGUUUCUUUUGGAGAUGCUCUAACUCUUCAAGGUGUGUUCUUUAUAUACAAAUAUAAAUUAUGGACUAGCUUUCCUUAGGAAGUUUUACGCCGUUUUGAAAACUCCUCUUGUUUGAUUUCGCUUCCCUCUUCCAUACUCUGCAUCCUUGAGGAUAUUUUGCUCAAGUAAUCCACAACAUCAAGAACGAAAUAAGGGGUGGAUGAUAUCAAGGAUAAAUGAACACAUUGAGGUUAAUAAAGAAAAAAAUAAAAAAGUGAAACCUGACUUGUCGCGGUGUUGAAAAUUAACUCCUCGAAGCUGACAGCAACUCUCAUGAGCUCUUCGAUUCCUUCUUUCCCAGAAUAUGGAAUAUGUUUCUUCAGUGUUUCCAAUCUACUCAAAUGACAAAAGUAACUUGUCUAUCUAGAACCAUAUUCAUAGUGUCAAAGCAAUACAACAAAACUUUGUGAAACAUUCUACUUCUACAGAAUUUUGAUCAUUAAAUUGACUUAUGAAUGACAAAAGAGUAGCAAGAGUGAGAAAAUAUGACAAAUUUGGAAGAGGAACAAAACUCACAAUGUGUUGACAUUCUUCUGGCGUGAACCUGGUGGAUGUUGAGUUCUCCAGUCACCUCUGUUUAUGCCAAUAUUACCUAUGUGGACAAAACAAAGCAUUAAGUUCAGAUUUCUAACUCCAUUCAAAAGAAACAAAUCAAGUGGGAAAAUGGAUGCAGCUGACCUACAACAUCGAUUUAUUAAUUACACCAAGAAAAUGGAUUGCAUCUACAGAUUUGCUUGACUAGAAUGAUUACCGUUCUGAGGUUGCGGAAGCUGCCCUUGCUGUACUGGCUUCCUCGGCCUGUGCCUAUUUAAGAAACUUAUAAUCUGCGUCUCAUAAAAAUCCACCUUAUCCUUUAAUGCAGGCAUGAUAUUGCUCUUUGAAAUCAAUAGGAAUCGUAUCAUUCGUUCCAACAUUAUCUUGAAUUGUUUCAAUUUCUCAAAGUCCUUUAAUCUUUGCUGCUGCGGUAGUGAAUACUGCUGGAGAGAAAGAAAAAAAAAUCUGUUCAAUAGGAAAAGAGACAAAGCACAUAGAUGCAUGCAAGCUAGAACCUUGGUGGGUAUGAGAAGGAACAUAACUAUCAGAUGUUUACAUACGAGCCUCAAGAGCAUAUUUUCGUGAAAUGGUUAACAAGAUACCAAAGUGUUUGCAUUAAAUUCAUAGAAAUUCUCCCAGCUACUAGUGUUUCGGAGGACAUACACACACUACUCUCUUAGAGAAAAAAAAUAUCGUAACGUACUUUCUCCAACUUGGCUGAAGCUCUCUGGUAGAUUUCGUGAAGUUCUGCUAAGUACUUUUCGUUUAUAGUUCUGAUCUGCAUAGACAAAGCACCAUGUUUUCACACGAUUAUUCAUUACAGUGAUACUCUUUGUCUUAUUGCAUCUAUCUCUUGACACUUUAAUAAGCGUAGACAGAAUUAGUACUAUAUAUAGCGAACUUAUUUUAUCUCCCAGAAUUCAGCAAGAGUAAGAGGACACUACAGAAGCAUUAACUAGAAAGAAACAACUAUCUUUUGGUAAACCUCCUCUUGCCAAUCAACACCAUUUGCACUUUCCAUCUGAUGCUCAGCAUCAGAUCCUGCUGAGGUGGGAUUAUGUAAAGUAUGAGAACCUAAAGUAUUCACAAGGAUGUAGAAAAAGCAUACAUGAUGGAAUCUCCGGAAGGGUUCUUUGGGAUUGAUAUAGUUGGUCCACUACAUUUUGAGGUGGAAGCAGAGAACCUGUGACUUGACCUGAAGAUUGUAGCCUCUGUUGCACAUCCUGUUGUAGCAGAUUAGGUUGUUGUUGCAAACCUAACUGCUGAUGAUGCGACUGUUGGCCCCGAAACAGAAACAAGCCAUGAGCAGCCUGAUGCAGCCCAACGGUUGGCUGUGAUAACAUGUGCACCGACUGCUGGUUAGUCUGGGAACUGAGCAACUGAUGUUGUGGUUGCUGCAGUCCUGCAACACUUCUUUGAGUGCCCAAUGGUUGCUGAUGAAGGCUGUUUUGUUGAGACAUCAAAUGCUGUGGCAACGGAUUUCUCCAGUCACCAGGUUCUCCUUUUGGAACGGAAGGUCUCCAAUUGUUGUUAUCCAUCACCUGUUCCUUACGACCACACACAAGACAAUCCGAUUUUAUGCCAAGAUUCAGAGCAGCUAGGCUAAUAAUGAUAGCAAGUUUGAGCCACGGAAUCACCAAUUCCAAAGAAAAUUAAAAUCAGUUGACUUCACUGAUCAGUCAAUUUUUUUCAUUUCUGUUUGCUAUUGGUAGCAAGAAAGAGACAGAGUCAACCUCAAAGUAGCAUAUCCGAGAAAACGAGUAAGCUCAAUCACACCAACAAAGUCAAAUCUAUUCUCCUAAAUAGUAUUAAGAACCGAGAACCACAAUCAAUAAAGCUUGAUGGGCUAUAUAGUAGUAUGUCUUCACGAGACUCCCGAUCCACAAGAUUUGAAAAUUUAACUUGUAUUAAACUUGUAUCAUUCGCUCCAACAUUGUCUUUAAUUGUUUCAAUCUAUUAAACUGCAGAGAUCUUUGUUGAUGCGGAAAAUAAUUCUGCUCGAGACAAAAAAAAGAAUGUUUUCAACAAGAAAGAGACGAGCACAUAGAUUGCAAGCUAAAGGAACAUAAAUAUCCGAUGUUUACUUUCUAGUGGACAGUAAAAAUACGAGCAUCUUUUGGUGCAAUGGUU